This 495-nucleotide ribosomal RNA is filed under the name uncultured bacterium. Its description in RNAcentral is "partial 16S ribosomal RNA". It matches the Rfam family "Bacterial small subunit ribosomal RNA", at positions 28 to 507 of the family's 1533-position model. The record is from RNAcentral.
GACGAACGCUGGCGGCGUGCCUAAUACAUGCAAGUAGAACGCUGAAGGAGGAGCUUGCUUCUCCGGAUGAGUUGCGAACGGGUGAGUAACGCGUAGGUAACCUGCCUGGUAGCGGGGGAUAACUAUUGGAAACGAUAGCUAAUACCGCAUAAGAGUAGAUGUCGCAUGACAUUUGCUUAAAAGGUGCAACUGCACCACUACCAGAUGGACCUGCGUUGUAUUAGCUAGUUGGUGAGGUAACGGCUCACCAAGGCAACGAUACAUAGCCGACCUGAGAGGGUGAUCGGCCACACUGGGACUGAGACACGGCCCAGCCUCCUACGGGAGGCAGCAGUAGGGAAUCUUCGGCAAUGGACGGAAGUCUGACCGAGCAACGCCGCGGGAGUGAAGAAGGUUUUCGGAUCGUAAAGCUCUGUUGUAAGAGAAGAACGAGUGUGAGAGUGGAAAGUUCACACUGUGACGGUAGCUUACCAGAAAGGGACGGCUAACUACGUG